CAAAAAGUAGUUUAAAUUAAAAUUCUAGUUUUGGGAAUUAGAGAUAAUACUAAGGUCUUCUUUUUGA
Molecule: transfer RNA, 67 nt
Filed under: Pagurus sp. D20M
Lineage: Eukaryota; Metazoa; Arthropoda; Malacostraca; Decapoda; Paguridae
Description: tRNA-Pro
Source: RNAcentral